UUCUUGUACAUCUCAACAUUGGAUAAUUCGAUCCUCAUCGAACUUCUCCUCAUUUUCUCUCUGCUGUCACUGAAAGGUUCAAUCUUGCUCUCUUUUCCUUACUCUUUCAAAUUCAGUCUUUUUUUUAUUCGUACCCAUGUAAAUUGGUAUUCUUCUGUGAGUUUGGUUUGUGCUUUUAAGAUAGAUUGAAGCUUGUGUCUUGCUUAAUUUGGGAUACAAAGCUGAAAGUUUUAAUUUUUUGUGAAGUAUAAUUGUCCUGCUUAAGAUAGAGAUUGGAACGAGGAGAAAUUUAAUUUUGGUGGAUGAACUCUGUUAUUCUUAUUUUUUGA
This 329-nucleotide long non-coding RNA is filed under the name Rosa chinensis. RNAcentral's name for it is "sRNA RchiOBHm_Chr1g0332181". Lineage: Eukaryota; Viridiplantae; Streptophyta; Magnoliopsida; Rosales; Rosaceae. The record is from RNAcentral.